AUGUCGAGCUCCGCUUCAGCCUCCCGCCGCUCAUGGCCGCGCUAUGGCGCAGUCCCCAUGACAAGGUGCCCUGCAUGCCCACGUAUCUCACCCCUGAAGCAGCUAGUCACAACGACCGACAAGAAUGGCAACCUUGGGCGGGAAUUCGUGAAAUGCGAGAGCAAACCAGAGCAGGGAAAGAAAUUGAAGCAAUGCACCCAUUUUGAGUGGCUAGAUGAGUACAUAGAGCGGAUUCAACUGGAGGGUGUAUCAAGGGAGCUCGAUUUACCGUUGGAGGCGGAGAAGUUGGGCGUUUGGAUCGGGCGCGUCUGGAUCUGCCCAUUUCAUUGGGGCUACUGUGGGGGAUGCAGGAGUGACGGCAGAGCUGAAGAAGCUGAACAAGCAGAUGAAGAAACUCAUCGAAUUGCAGAAGCAGGGCAAUUUGAUGGGGCUGAUGGCCGGACUUUUUUAUGUUUGUGUAAUUGCUCUCGCAUUUGUUUAUGUGAUGAUAAUUAG
RNAcentral lists this ribosomal RNA (495 nucleotides) under Triticum aestivum (bread wheat). RNAcentral's name for it is "partial small subunit ribosomal RNA". Lineage: Eukaryota; Viridiplantae; Streptophyta; Magnoliopsida; Poales; Poaceae. The record is from RNAcentral.